ACAUUUAAUCAUGUCAUGUAUAAAAAAGAGAAAUCAAACAAAUCAUAUCAUAUCAUGCUUUUUUUUUCAUCUUUUACUUAUUCUUCGUGGGAAGCUUUCUGACCUUUAUCGACUGAGGGCAAUACAGAUUUUUUACUACCACUGUGGAUGAGAAUUUUAUUUCACAUUAUUUUCAGCGUAUUUGUGGCUUGCCAAACUAUGACACAUUCUAUGAC
This 215-nucleotide long non-coding RNA is filed under the name Carica papaya (papaya). Its description in RNAcentral is "long non-coding RNA (CPAP_LNC010940)". The record is from RNAcentral. Lineage: Eukaryota; Viridiplantae; Streptophyta; Magnoliopsida; Brassicales; Caricaceae.